This 659-nucleotide ribosomal RNA is filed under the name uncultured bacterium. RNAcentral describes it as "bacterial SSU rRNA". It matches the Rfam family "Bacterial small subunit ribosomal RNA", at positions 100 to 755 of the family's 1533-position model. The record is from RNAcentral.
GAACGGGUGAGUAAUACAUCGGAACGUGCCCAGUAAUGGGGGAUAGCUCGGCGAAAGCCGGAUUAAUACCGCAUACGCCCUGAGGGGGAAAGUGGGGGACCGCAAGGCCUCACGUUAUUGGAGCGGCCGAUGGCUGAUUAGCUAGUUGGUAGGGUAAAGGCCUACCAAGGCGACGAUCAGUAGCUGAUCUGAGAGGACGAUCAGCCACACUGGGACUGAGACACGGCCCAGACUCCUACGGGAGGCAGCAGUGGGGAAUUUUGGACAAUGGGGGAAACCCUGAUCCAGCAAUGCCGCGUGUGCGAAGAAGGCCUUCGGGUUGUAAAGCACUUUUGUCAGGGAAGAAAUCCUUUGGGCUAAUACCCUAGGGGGAUGACGGUACCUGAAGAAUAAGCACCGGCUAACUACGUGCCAGCAGCCGCGGUAAUACGUAGGGUGCAAGCGUUAAUCGGAAUUACUGGGCGUAAAGCGUGCGCAGGCGGUUGUGUAAGACAGGUGUGAAAUCCCCGGGCUUAACCUGGGAAUUGCAUUUGUGACUGCACGACUAGAGUGUGUCAGAGGGGGGUGGAAUUCCACGUGUAGCAGUGAAAUGCGUAGAUAUGUGGAGGAACACCAAUGGCGAAGGCAGCCCCCUGGGAUAACACUGACGCUCAUGCACG